AUACGGAGGGGGCAAGCGUUGUUCGGAAUUACUGGGCGUAAAGGGCUCGCAGGCGGGUUUGUCAGUCAGGCGUGAAAUCCCCGGGCUCAACCCGGGAACUGCGUUUGAUACUGCGAAACUAGAGAUCGGGAGAGGGUAGUGGAAUUCCCAGUGUAGAGGUGAAAUUCGUAGAUAUUGGGAAGAACACCAGUGGCGAAGGCGGCUACCUGGACCGAUACUGACGCUGAGACGCGAAAGCGUGGGGAGCAAACAGGAUUAGAAACCCCAGUAGUCC
Molecule: ribosomal RNA, 274 nt
Filed under: uncultured bacterium
Lineage: Bacteria
Description: partial 16S ribosomal RNA
Rfam family: Bacterial small subunit ribosomal RNA
Source: RNAcentral